AGUGAACGCUGGCGGUAGGCCUAACACAUGCAAGUCGAACGGCAGCACAGUAAGAGCUUGCUCUUACGGGUGGCGAGUGGCGGACGGGUGAGGAAUACAUCGGAAUCUACUUUUUCGUGGGGGAUAACGUAGGGAAACUUACGCUAAUACCGCAUACGACCUACGGGUGAAAGCAGGGGGUCUUCGGACCUUGCGCGAUUGAAUGAGCCGAUGUCGGAUUAGCUAGUUGGCGGGGUAAAGGCCCACCAAGGCGACGAUCCGUAGCUGGUCUGAGAGGAUGAUCAGCCACACUGGAACUGAGACACGGUCCAGACUCCUACGGGAGGCAGCAGUGGGGAAUAUUGGACAAUGGGCGCAAGCCUGAUCCAGCCAUACCGCGUGGGUGAAGAAGGCCUUCGGGUUGUAAGGCCCUUUUGUUGGGAAAGAAAAGCAGCAGGUUAAUACCCCGCUGUUCUGACGGUACCCAAAGAAUAAGCACCGGCUAACUUCGUG
Molecule: ribosomal RNA, 492 nt
Filed under: uncultured bacterium
Lineage: Bacteria
Description: partial 16S ribosomal RNA
Rfam family: Bacterial small subunit ribosomal RNA
Source: RNAcentral